Molecule: long non-coding RNA, 345 nt
Organism: Hippocampus zosterae (dwarf seahorse)
Lineage: Eukaryota; Metazoa; Chordata; Actinopteri; Syngnathiformes; Syngnathidae
Exons: 2
Source: RefSeq, a predicted model, not a curated record
GCCUGUUUGGGGCUUCUCUGUUGUCUCUUUGGGCGUGUUGAACACGACGCUGCUGCGGAAUGGGCGGACGACCAACGUUCGGAGGCAAAGUCACUUGCGGCCUCUCCAAUGUGGUGGCUGUUGAAACUUCUGCCUGUAGUGGAGGAUAUGGAUCGACAGCUUCGCAGCCUGAAGAAUUCGAGUCCCCUUCCUGGGUAAGAGGGGAAACCUUGUUGUUGGCAUCUUCAUUCUCUUUUCUCAUUUGACUUGAUGAACUUGAUUCUGCCUGCAUUUACACAGAGAACAAACUUUUUUUUUAAAAAGCUUGACUGUGUCCACAGCUUGGGCAUAUCAAACAUAGAAUUG